GCAUUAGUGGUUCAGUGGUCAAAUUCUUGCCUUCCAUGCAGGAGACCUGGGUUUGUCUCCUGGCCUAUGUG
Molecule: transfer RNA, 71 nt
Filed under: Loxodonta africana (African savanna elephant)
Lineage: Eukaryota; Metazoa; Chordata; Mammalia; Proboscidea; Elephantidae
Rfam family: tRNA
About the family: Transfer RNA (tRNA) molecules are approximately 80 nucleotides in length.
Source: Rfam by way of RNAcentral